UGGGGAAUAUUGCACAAUGGAGGGAACUCUGAUGCAGCGACGCCGCGUGAACGAAGAAGGCUUUCGAGUCGUAAAGUUCUUUUAUAUGGGAAGAUAAUGACGGUACCAUAAGAAAAAGCCCCGGCUAACUACGUGCCAGCAGCCGCGGUAAUACGUAGGGGGCUAGCGUUGUCCGGAAUCACUGGGCGUAAAGGGUUCGCAGGCGGAAAUGCAAGUCAGGUGUAAAAGGCAGUAGCUUAACUACUGUAAGCAUUUGAAACUGCAUAUCUUGAGAAGAGUAGAGGUAAGUGGAAUUUUUAGUGUGACGGUGAAAUGCGUAGAUAUUAAAAAGAAUACCGGUGGCGAAGGCGACUUACUGGGCUCAUUCUGACGCUGAGGAACGAAAGCGUGGGUAGCAAACAGG
This 403-nucleotide ribosomal RNA is filed under the name Bacteroidota bacterium. RNAcentral describes it as "Bacteroidetes bacterium partial 16S ribosomal RNA". It matches the Rfam family "Bacterial small subunit ribosomal RNA", at positions 355 to 776 of the family's 1533-position model. Lineage: Bacteria; Pseudomonadati; Bacteroidota. The record is from RNAcentral.